Molecule: non-coding RNA, 84 nt
Organism: Spinacia oleracea (spinach)
Lineage: Eukaryota; Viridiplantae; Streptophyta; Magnoliopsida; Caryophyllales; Amaranthaceae
Source: Rfam
AAUCCCAGUGAUGCAAUUUUAUACCAUGCUAAUUCUGAUAAACCCAUGAUCGAUAACUUUCACUAUUGAUUAGCUGAGGGUUCU